AUUGAACGCCGGCGGCAUGCUUUACACAUGCAAGUCGAACGGCAACAGGCCGCAAGGUGCUGACGAGUGGCGAACGGGUGAGUAAUGCAUCGGAACGUGCCCAGGCGUGGGGGAUAACUACUCGAAAGAGUAGCUAAUACCGCAUACGAUCUAUGGAUGAAAGCGGGGGACCGUAAGGCCUCGCGCGAUUGGAGCGGCCGAUGUCAGAUUAGGUAGUUGGUGGGGUAAAGGCUCACCAAGCCAACGAUCUGUAGCUGGUCUGAGAGGACGACCAGCCACACUGGGACUGAGACACGGCCCAGACUCCUACGGGAGGCAGCAGUGGGGAAUUUUGGACAAUGGGCGCAAGCCUGAUCCAGCAAUGCCGCGUGCAGGAAGAAGGCCUUCGGGUUGUAAACUGCUUUUGUACGGAACGAAACGGCUCUGGUUAAUACCCGGGGCUAAUGACGGUACCGUAAGAAUAAGCACCGGCUAACUACGUG
This 482-nucleotide ribosomal RNA is filed under the name uncultured bacterium. RNAcentral's name for it is "partial 16S ribosomal RNA". It matches the Rfam family "Bacterial small subunit ribosomal RNA", at positions 30 to 507 of the family's 1533-position model. The record is from RNAcentral.